UGGGGAAUUUUGCACAAUGGGGGAAACCCUGAUGCAGCGACGCCGCGUGAUUUAGAAGGCCUUCGGGUUGUAAAAAUCUUUUUUAUGGGAUGAAAAUGACAGUACCAUAAGAAUAAGGUCCGGCUAAAUACGUGCCAGCAGCCGCGGUAAUACGUAUGGACCGAGCGUUGUCCGGAAUCAUUGGGCGUAAAGGGUACGUAGGCGGCCCAGUAAGUUAGAAGUGAAAUAAUAUAGCUCAACUAUAUAAAGCUUUUAAAACUGCUAGGCUUGAGAGAUGGAAGGGAAAGUGGAAUUCCUAGUGUAGCGAUGAAAUGCGCAGAUAUUAGGAAGAAUACCGGUGGCGAAGGCGACUUUCUGGUCAUCAUCUGACGCUGAGGUACGAAAGCGUGGGGAGCAAACAGG
RNAcentral lists this ribosomal RNA (402 nucleotides) under Verrucomicrobiota bacterium. Its description in RNAcentral is "Verrucomicrobia bacterium partial 16S ribosomal RNA". It matches the Rfam family "Bacterial small subunit ribosomal RNA", at positions 355 to 776 of the family's 1533-position model. Lineage: Bacteria; Pseudomonadati; Verrucomicrobiota. The record is from RNAcentral.